UGAACUCAAUGCUGAGAAGGCCUUGAUUCAAUUCCAGAGUGAUAAAUUAUUGAUGGCUCCACAGGAGAAAAAGAUGGCCUUGUGUGAAAUCUGCGGUUCUUUUCUAGUAGCAAAUGAUGCUGCAGAGAGGACUCAGUCUCACGUUGUAGGGAAGCAGCACAUAGGUUAUGGCAUGGUCCGAGACUUCAUCACAGAGUACAAGGCAGCUAAGGAGAAGGCAAAGGAAGAAGAGAGACUAGCUAUGGAGAAAGAAGCUGAAGAACAGAGGAAGAAAAGGGAGAAGGAAUAUGAAAAGAGGAGGUGGAGUGAUUCUGAUGAUAUGGACCAUUAUCAUAAUAGAGAUCGAUACAGGGAGAGGGACCGUAAUCGUGACCGUGAACGUGAUCAUAAAAGGUCACGAAAGUGGACUGGUAGAGGUAGUAGGGGUGGAGGAAAGGGAAUAGAUUGGAGGUCCAGGAGUGGAAGAGAUAGUGGCAGAGAUAGGUACCGUGACCGGAGUAGGUCACCCUCCCCUGUUAGACACAGUCACAGGAGAUCCCCU
Molecule: unclassified non-coding RNA, 541 nt
Filed under: Hevea brasiliensis (rubber tree)
Lineage: Eukaryota; Viridiplantae; Streptophyta; Magnoliopsida; Malpighiales; Euphorbiaceae
Source: RNAcentral